This 355-nucleotide transfer-messenger RNA is filed under the name Anaerococcus sp. It matches the Rfam family "transfer-messenger RNA". From Rfam's summary of the family: Bacterial tmRNA, also known as 10Sa RNA or SsrA, is named for its dual tRNA and mRNA-like properties. Lineage: Bacteria; Bacillati; Bacillota; Tissierellia; Tissierellales; Peptoniphilaceae. The record is from RNAcentral.
GGGGAUGACUUGGUCUCGACGUGGUCAAGGAGACUUAAGUUGCAGGUCGUAUGCAAAAACGUAAAUUGGCAAUUAAAUAUAAACGCAAACAAUAAUAGCGAAGCAAACUUCGCACUAGCUGCCUAAGAAAUAGGCUGCAAUGAAUAUUAGACUAGUCGCAAGUUUAAUAUUCGUUUCAUAAAUUGGCGACAACUAUUGUAUGUAAGCUUUGCCAUACAAUUAGUAUCAUGAAGCUAGCAGAAAGAAUUUUUGUAAGUUUUCAAUCUUUUUUGCGAAACUCCAAAACUUAAUAAGCUUGUAGAUGCUUUUGAAGAAUUUUCCGCGGACAAGGGUUCGAAUCCCUUCAUCUCCACCA